AUUAACGCUAGCGGCAGGCAUAAUACAUGCAAGUUGAACGGCAGCACAGGUAGCAAUACUGGGUGGCGAGUGGCGCACGGGUGCGUAACACGUAUGCAACCUACCCUAUACAGGCGAAUAACCUUUAGAAAUGAGGGCUAAUACGCCGUAGUAUUACAGAUGGGCAUCUAUUUGUAAUUAAAGAUUUAUCGGUAUAGGAUGGGCAUGCGUCCCAUUAGUUAGUUGGUAAGGUAACGGCUUUACCAAGUACGAUG
This 254-nucleotide ribosomal RNA is filed under the name uncultured bacterium. Its description in RNAcentral is "partial 16S ribosomal RNA". It matches the Rfam family "Bacterial small subunit ribosomal RNA", at positions 29 to 278 of the family's 1533-position model. The record is from RNAcentral.